CAACUCGCCUGCAUGAAGUCGGAAUUGCUAGCAAUCGCAGAUCAGCAUGCUGCGGUGAAUACGUUCCCGGGCCUUGUACACACCGCCCGUCACACCAUGGGAGUCGGUAACACCCGAAGUCGGUAGUCUAACCGAAAGGAGGACGCCGCCGAAGGUGGGAUUGAUGACUGGGGUGAAGUCGUAACAAGGUACC
Molecule: ribosomal RNA, 193 nt
Filed under: uncultured bacterium
Lineage: Bacteria
Description: partial 16S ribosomal RNA
Rfam family: Bacterial small subunit ribosomal RNA
Source: RNAcentral